CAAUCACCACAGCACUCCGAAUACCCUUGGCUUUCCUCUGAUUUUGAAAGUUAAGCAGGUUUGAGCCCAGGUAGUGCUUGGAUGGGAAACCACCAGAGAAAACUGAGUGCUGGAUUGA
RNAcentral lists this ribosomal RNA (118 nucleotides) under Pogona vitticeps (central bearded dragon). Lineage: Eukaryota; Metazoa; Chordata; Lepidosauria; Squamata; Agamidae. The record is from RNAcentral.